RNAcentral lists this ribosomal RNA (407 nucleotides) under uncultured bacterium. Its description in RNAcentral is "partial 16S ribosomal RNA". It matches the Rfam family "Bacterial small subunit ribosomal RNA", at positions 28 to 526 of the family's 1533-position model. The record is from RNAcentral.
GACGAACGCUGGCGGCGGGCCUAAUACAUGCAAGUAGGACGGAGUUGCGAACGGGUGAGUAACGCGUAGGUAACUACAUAGAAGAGGGGGAUAAAGAUUGGAAACGAUAGCUAAUACCGCAUACUAGUAGAUGGAACUGCGUGGUAUUAGCUAGUAGGUUGGGUAAUGGCCUAAAUAGGCAACGAUGCAUAGCCGACCUGAGAGGGUGGUCCAGCACACUGGGACUUAGACAAGGCCCAGCGUCCUACUGGAGGCAGCAGGAGGGAAUCUUCGGCAAUGGGGGGAACCCGUACCGAGCCACGCCGCGUGAGUGAAGAAAGUUUUCGGAUCGUAAAGCUCUUUUGUUAAGGAAGCGUUACUUAACCAGAAAGGGACGGCUAACUACGUGCCAGCAGCCGCGGUAAUAC